AUGGCUAAGUACUGGUGGGGCAGCUCCAUGGACAAGCGCUCGCUACACUGGCUCUCGUGGGACAAGCUCGAGGUGCCUAAAGUAAAAGGGGGCAUGGGUUUUCGCAACAUGCAGUCCUUCAACCUCGCUAUGCUUGGGAAACAUGGUUGGCGUCUUCUCACGCGACCGGACUCAUUGUGUGCUAGGGUACUAAAAGGAAAAUACUACCCUCAUACAGACUUUCUCAAUGCAACGGUUCCGGCCAAAGCAUCGGCAACCUGGAAGGCAAUAGUGGCAGGAAGAGAGGCAUUACAGGUUGGUCUCAUUCGUCGAGUUCGUGAUGGCUCAACCAUCUCAAUUUGGAAUGACAACUGGAUUCCU
RNAcentral lists this ribosomal RNA (360 nucleotides) under Triticum aestivum (bread wheat). Its description in RNAcentral is "partial small subunit ribosomal RNA". Lineage: Eukaryota; Viridiplantae; Streptophyta; Magnoliopsida; Poales; Poaceae. The record is from RNAcentral.